GACGAACGCUGGCGGCGUGCUUAACACAUGCAAGUCGAACGGAAAGGCCCCUUUGGGGGUACUCGAGUGGCGAACGGGUGAGUAACACGUGAGUAACCUGCCCUUGACUUCGGGAUAACUUCAGGAAACUGGGGCUAAUACCGGAUAGGAAUCCUUGCUGCAUGGUGGGGGUUGGAAAGCUUCGGCGGUUUUGGAUGGACUCGCGGCUUAUCAGCUUGUUGGUGGGGUAGUGGCUUACCAAGGCUUUGACGGGUAGCCGGCCUGAGAGGGCGACCGGCCACAUUGGGACUGAGAUACGGCCCAGACUCCUACGGGAGGCAGCAGUGGGGAAUAUUGCACAAUGGGCGGAAGCCUGAUGCAGCAACGCCGCGUGCGGGAUGACGGCCUUCGGGUUGUAAACCGCUUUCAGCAGGGGCGAAGCUUGUGGUGACGGUACCUGCAGAAGAAGCACCGGCUAACUACAUG
This 465-nucleotide ribosomal RNA is filed under the name uncultured bacterium. RNAcentral describes it as "partial 16S ribosomal RNA". It matches the Rfam family "Bacterial small subunit ribosomal RNA", at positions 28 to 507 of the family's 1533-position model. The record is from RNAcentral.